UAGAUGACUGACGCCCUCUUACCCUCCCUCCGUCUCUCGCCCUCAUUUUCUCUCUCUCUCCAUGCUCUCUCCGCUACACCACCAAUACUUUUUUCCCUGGCUGUGGCGUGUUUGUGCUUUAGCGAGUGUACAGCGAAACCAGUUCUGUGCUGAUCCAGCGUGUGCUAUCCCAUAUACAGAGCCAGGAGCAGCGUACCUCUUGCCAACAGCCUGCCUCCACUUUGCUGCCUUUUCUGCUUUGAUUUCUUACUGUCUGCUUUUCCACCAGACCUUUUCUUUCUUUAACCCUCUGCUCUCUUCCAAGAAAGAUCUAGGAAGAGGGGAAAGAAAUAAGAGAAAGGUGUCUGCGUGAAGGGGAGAUGAGGAGGCAGAAAAGGAGAGAGAGAGGGGAGAGGACUAGAGAAGACUGGAGUUAGGCUGCAACACGAGAGGCAAAGCAACGAGGAGAGGGAGAAAGAAGAGAGCAACAAGGAUCGAGGGAUGAUCGAGGUGGAAUCGGGCAAAAACGCAGGAAAAAGGGGGAAAAUAUUGCCAGACUCAUCCGACCUCUGCUGUGUGGGGACCGGACCCAUCACCUGACUGCCCUCUCCUGUCUUCCUGGUCCUCAGCAGAACAGCCAUGAGGUAGAGUCGGACAUUUUGGAAAAUUGUAUCCAGCGACAUCUUGCUAAGAUGGAUGCAAGGACUUCUCUCUUCACCCUUCCACAUCCUCCUUUAACCCUACACGACCAUCAUGUCCUGUGUCCCCAUCUCACCCUUUGAGUGAGAGCACAGCUCCUGUCCUUCAUUUGAACCACUGUCAGACUAACAAAGGCAACAUCUACCUUUAAUUGUCAGUGAAGACAGGGUGACAGUGGCUCAACCAGUAGGAGUUAGAAGAGAGAAAGGGCAGAAUUGCUCUUUAAGUUCUCGUAAGCAGAUGUAGCCAUUCUUGGCCCGUAGCUGGUUGCCCCGGCAAACAUAGUGUUGUUAAAUUGCAGAGCAGACCCACACAAUCAGGUUGGAGAUUGUCAAGUGUUACAUAGUGGUAUCUUAAGUGUAGAGGAAUUAUACUGACUGGGACUAUUUUAUUCUGAUUGACACAGCUCAGUGGACUGCCUAGGGGGUCCGUAGAGGCGAAUGUCUCUAAAGAGCUAUCAGAGAAAUGAUUCAGAGCUGAGGUUAUUAAGAUAGGAUAUUACAUAUUAACGGAAUAUAUUAGGUAUGAAUACACACACUGUCAAUCAGUAUACCUCUAGAAGGUAUGUAUUAUAUUGUAUGUUAUACCACAGCAUUGUUUCUGAUUGGCGAGAAGGGCAUUCUAGAAUGGGCAUUAACAAGUUGUUAUACAGAAUGUCUGGAAUGUGUAUUAAUUAUAUUACAUGUUUCAUAUUGUUUCAUAUGUUUCAUAAUGUUUCACAUUUCAAACCCACACAGGAGCGGGCUGGUUGCCGCAGAAAUGAAAUGUCAGACGAGGUCAUAGCUUUGUGUCGUCGGUGCGACGAUGCGUUUCUUUUUUCUUUCGUAAAAAAUAAUUUCAUCCAUCUGGCCACCUUUGCUUAUGUGAAACGCCUGUGGAACUACUUUUCCCAGCAUGCCCCUCUGUCCCUGAGACCCUUAACCUGUGAGGUCAUAGUAGGUCACAGGUGAGGUCCUUGGGAACAGGGCUGCAUUCAUGUUCAUCAUUGUGGAGCAAAAGAAAAGAGAAGAGUCGCUGUGGAAGAUGACUUACUGUUUUUAUACGUCAAUGAACUCCUUGUUAUUUCCCAUAGAAUGUUCCAGUGUAAAGAAUGCAAUGUAUAGUGUUUCAACUGGUGUUUCCUUUUAAAGUGAUCAUAGUUAGAGUUGCUUCCACACAUCUGAAUACAACAUAAAAACCCAGACUUUGACACCGUGGUUGGAUGUCCCAUGUCUUUAUAUCUGAUAAUGGGACACACAGCCCUAUCCAUUCUGCAUGACUCUACUGAAUGUUAUGGUACUUAUGUACUUGUCUGAAGUUCCCUCUUAACAACAAAUACCUGUGGAAUAGGAUGUCUGUCUGUGACCUCAGGGGGCCCACCCUAUUGGCUGGCUUUGUGUUCUAACCCAUCAUGGGAGCCAAUCAGAAGACAGCCAAGGGUGGUGACCCCGUCAAAGUUAUCAUCUUCGAAGACAGCUAAUGAUCCAAAUGAAAUAAAGUAUUUACACACUGUUACUGUAUUUGUUUUACUGUAUAAAUUGUAUGUCUUAAUUUCUAAAUAAAGACAGAGUAAUGUAAACGGUGUGACAGUCUGUGUGAACGUGUCAAGAGGAGCGUGCUAUGAGCUAUGUCUGGCAGAUCUGCA
Oncorhynchus tshawytscha (Chinook salmon) is the source of this 2302-nucleotide long non-coding RNA. RefSeq lists it as uncharacterized. The record is from RefSeq and is a predicted model, not a curated record. The transcript is spliced from 3 exons. Lineage: Eukaryota; Metazoa; Chordata; Actinopteri; Salmoniformes; Salmonidae.